RNAcentral lists this ribosomal RNA (497 nucleotides) under uncultured bacterium. RNAcentral describes it as "partial 16S ribosomal RNA". It matches the Rfam family "Bacterial small subunit ribosomal RNA", at positions 28 to 507 of the family's 1533-position model. The record is from RNAcentral.
GAUGAACGCUGGCGGCGUGCCUAAUACAUGCAAGUCGAGCGAACAGACGAGGAGCUUGCUCCUCUGACGUUAGCGGCGGACGGGUGAGUAACACGUGGAUAACCUACCUAUAAGACUGGGAUAACUUCGGGAAACCGGAGCUAAUACCGGAUAAUAUAUUGAACCGCAUGGUUCAAUAGUGAAAGACGGUUUUGCUGUCACUUAUAGAUGGAUCCGCGCCGCAUUAGCUAGUUGGUAAGGUAACGGCUUACCAAGGCAACGAUGCGUAGCCGACCUGAGAGGGUGAUCGGCCACACUGGAACUUGGACACGGUCCAGACUCCUACGGGAGGCAGCAGUAGGGAAUCUGCCGCAAUGGGCGAAAGCUUGACGGAGCAACGCCGCGUGAGUGAUGAAGGUCUUCGGAUCGUAAAACUCUGUUAUUAGGGAAGAACAAAUGUGUAAGUAACUAUGCACGUCUUGACGGUACCUAAUCAGAAAGCCACGGCUAACUACGUG